This 69-nucleotide transfer RNA is filed under the name Gigantometra gigas. RNAcentral describes it as "tRNA-Trp". The record is from RNAcentral. Lineage: Eukaryota; Metazoa; Arthropoda; Insecta; Hemiptera; Gerridae.
AAAUCCUUAAGUUAAUCAAAACUAUUAACCUUCAAAGUUAGAAAUAUAAAUUAAAUUUUAUAGGUUUUA